GUGGGUCGGCUCCUCUCAAAUGAAUUAGCUUGCCAGUGUUUGGUGGCGUCACAGGUGUGAUAACUAUCUACGCUUGUGGUUUUCCACCAGGUAACCUCCAGCAAUGGGGGUUCACUGGAGCUCACAAAUGUCUCUCCUCGGUGAGGACAGCUCUUUGAACGUUUGAUCUCAAAUCAGGUAGGACUACCCGCUGAACUUAA
Molecule: unclassified non-coding RNA, 200 nt
Filed under: soil metagenome
Description: partial contains internal transcribed spacer 2 and large subunit ribosomal RNA
Source: RNAcentral